Molecule: ribosomal RNA, 425 nt
Filed under: uncultured bacterium
Lineage: Bacteria
Description: partial 16S ribosomal RNA
Rfam family: Bacterial small subunit ribosomal RNA
Source: RNAcentral
GUGGGGAAUCUUAGACAAUGGGCGCAAGCCUGAUCUAGCCAUGCCGCGUGAGCGUUGAAGGCCUUAGGGUUGUAAAGCUCUUUCAGGGGGGAAGAUAAUGACGGUACCCCCAGAAGAAGCCCCGGCUAACUCCGUGCCAGCAGCCGCGGUAAUACGGAGGGGGCUAGCGUUGUUCGGAAUUACUGGGCGUAAAGCGCACGUAGGCGGACCAGAAAGUCAGGGAUGAAAUCCCGGGGCUCAACCCCGGAACUGCCUUUGAAACUCCUGGUCUUGAGGUCGAGAGAGGUGAGUGGAAUUCCGAGUGUAGAGGUGAAAUUAGUAGAUAUUCGGAGGGACACCAGUGGCGAAGGCGGCUCACUGGCUCGAUACUGACGCUGAGGUGCGAAAGCGUGGGGAGCAAACAGGAUUAGAUACCCGUGUAGUCC